UGAUUUUGAUGUGUCACUUGAUAUUGAAGUCUGUAGAGCUUUAAUAAAUGGUCAUUGCAGGGAGAACAAUUUCUGUGAGGCUCAGUCGCUGUUAAGCUUCUUUGCUCAAGAAUUUAAAAUAUUUGACACAGUUUGUUACAACACAAUUGUCAGGCUUCUAAGUGGUGAAGCUGAUAUUGCAAAAUUGAUGAAAUUUCAAGAUAAAAUGAGGAAAGUGGGUUUUGCGCCAAAUCAGCUGACAUGCAAGUACAUUAUUGAUGGAUUACAGAAAGCUGUCGGAGUUCACAAGAUCAACAGCUGAGUGCAGUAAUGAGGUGCUUGGAUUCACACAUCUUGAG
RNAcentral lists this unclassified non-coding RNA (338 nucleotides) under Hevea brasiliensis (rubber tree). The record is from RNAcentral. Lineage: Eukaryota; Viridiplantae; Streptophyta; Magnoliopsida; Malpighiales; Euphorbiaceae.